GUCGAGCGAACGGACGAGAAGCUUGCUUCUCUGAUGUUAGCGGCGGACGGGUGAGUAACACGUGGAUAACCUACCUAUAAGACUGGGAUAACUUCGGGAAACCGGAGCUAAUACCGGAUAAUAUUUUGAACCGCAUGGUUCAAAAGUGAAAGACGGUCUUGCUGUCACUUAUAGAUGGAUCCGCGCUGCAUUAGCUAGUUGGUAAGGUAACGGCUUACCAAGGCAACGAUGCAUAGCCGACCUGAGAGGGUGAUCGGCCACACUGGAACUGAGACACGGUCCAGACUCCUACGGGAGGCAGCAGUAGGGAAUCUUCCGCAAUGGGCGAAAGCCUGACGGAGCAACGCCGCGUGAGUGAUGAAGGUCUUCGGAUCGUAAAACUCUGUUAUUAGGGAAGAACAUAUGUGUAAGUAACUGUGCACAUCUUGACGGUACCUAAUCAGAAAGCCACGGCUAACUACGUGCCAGCAGCCGCGGUAAUACGUAGGUGGCAAGCGUUAUCCGGAAUUAUUGGGCGUAAAGCGCGCGUAGGCGGUUUUUUAAGUCUGAUGUGAAAGCCCACGGCUCAACCGUGGAGGGUCAUUGGAAACUGGAAAACUUGAGUGCAGAAGAGGAAAGUGGAAUUCCAUGUGUAGCGGUGAAAUGCGCAGAGAUAUGGAGGAACACCAGUGGCGAAGGCGACUUUCUGGUCUGUAACUGACGCUGAUGUGCGAAAGCGUGGGGAUCAAACAGGAUUAGAUACCCUGGUAGUCCACGCCGUAAACGAUGAGUGCUAAGUGUUAGGGGGGUUUCCGCCCCUUAGUGCUGCAGCUAACGCAUUAAGCACUCCGCCUGGGGAGUACGACCGCAAGGUUGAAACUCAAAGGAAUUGACGGGGACCCGCACAAGCGGUGGAGCAUGUGGUUUAAUUCGAAGCAACGCGAAGAACCUUACCAAAUCUUGACAUCCUUUGACAACUCUAGAGAUAGAGCCUUCCCCUUCGGGGGACAAAGUGACAGGUGGUGCAUGGUUGUCGUCAGCUCGUGUCGUGAGAUGUUGGGUUAAGUCCCGCAACGAGCGCAACCCUUAAGCUUAGUUGCCAUCAUUAAGUUGGGCACUCUAAGUUGACUGCCGGUGACAAACCGGAGGAAGGUGGGGAUGACGUCAAAUCAUCAUGCCCCUUAUGAUUUGGGCUACACACGUGCUACAAUGGACAAUACAAAGGGCAGCGAAACCGCGAGGUCAAGCAAAUCCCAUAAAGUUGUUCUCAGUUCGGAUUGUAGUCUGCAACUCGACUACAUGAAGCUGGAAUCGCUAGUAAUCGUAGAUCAGCAUGCUACGGUGAAUACGUUCCCGGGUCUUGUACACACCGCCCGUCACACCACGAGAGUUUGUAACACCCGAAGCCGGUGGAGU
This 1395-nucleotide ribosomal RNA is filed under the name Staphylococcus argenteus. RNAcentral describes it as "bacterial SSU rRNA". It matches the Rfam family "Bacterial small subunit ribosomal RNA", at positions 61 to 1436 of the family's 1533-position model. The record is from RNAcentral. Lineage: Bacteria; Bacillati; Bacillota; Bacilli; Caryophanales; Staphylococcaceae.